RNAcentral lists this ribosomal RNA (447 nucleotides) under uncultured bacterium. RNAcentral's name for it is "bacterial SSU rRNA". It matches the Rfam family "Bacterial small subunit ribosomal RNA", at positions 28 to 512 of the family's 1533-position model. The record is from RNAcentral.
GAUGAACGCUGGCGGUAUGCCUAAUACAUGCAAGUCGUGCGGAAAGGCCUCUUCGGAGGUACUCGAGCGGCGGACGGCAGAGUAACGCGUAGGAACAUACCCCAAACUGAGGGAUAACUGCUCGAAAGAGUAGCUAAUACCGCAUGUGGUCUUCGGACUAAAGCUUCGGCGGUUUGGGAAUGGCCUGCGUUCGAUUAGCUAGUUGGUGAGGUAAUUGCUCACCAAGGCGACGAUCGAUAGCUGGUCUGAGAGGAUGAUCAGCCUGACUGGAACUGAGACACGGUCCAGACUCCUACGGGAGGCAGCAGUAGGGAAUUUUCCACAAUGGGCGAAAGCCUGAUGGAGCAAUACCGCGUGCAGGAUGAAGGCCUUCGGGUCGUAAACUGCUUUAUGUGAGAAGAAUUUGACGGUAACACAUGAAUAAGGGUCGGCUAACUACGUGCCAGC